CGCCCACCGGGCCCACUCACACUAAAUACCUGGUCGACAUUUUUCGGUUGGGGCGACCUUGGAGAAAAAUAAAUCCUCCAAACCCACAGACCACAACUCUUCACCAAGAUCAACUUAUCAAAGUACUAAUAGUAAUUAGACCCAAUACAAUUGACCAAUGAACCAAGCUACCCCAGGGAUAACAGCGCAAUCUCCUCCAAGAGCCCGUAUCGACAAGGAGGUUUACGACCUCGAUGUUGGAUCAGGACAUCCUAAUGGUGCAGCCGCUAUUAAGGGUUCGUUUGUUCAACGAUUAAUAGUCCUACGUGAUCUGAGUUCAGACCGGAGCAAUCCAGGUCGGUUUCUAU
Molecule: ribosomal RNA, 347 nt
Filed under: Tragopan temminckii
Lineage: Eukaryota; Metazoa; Chordata; Aves; Galliformes; Phasianidae
Description: partial large subunit ribosomal RNA
Rfam family: Bacterial large subunit ribosomal RNA
Source: RNAcentral